AAAGGCCGCGGCCCCGGCCUGCAGGGCCCUGUCCUGUGGCCCCGCUGGGUCUCACUCUGCCUCCCCGAGUGACCAUGGGGAAGGAGCUAUAGGAACUCAGGGGCCCACCUCAGAGCUGCAACCGGAGAGGUGGACACUGGGGGCAGUGCGUGCCGGCUGUGAAGACUUUAUGCCAAGGAGAGAAAUGCUGUGAAUGCGUCUCGUAAUGAUGAUGGAUUACACGUGAGGAACGUGGCCGGCGAGUUGGCCAAAUUACCCGAGCCUGCCGUGGGCCGACUUGGGUCUGAAUUAUGGAGAAGAUGAAUUUUGGAAUCCUUUCUGCCGCGAGGACAAUGGAUAAGCUUUGUGGGCGAUUCCGCAGAGCAGAUGUCGGCCGUGCUG
Long non-coding RNA from Talpa occidentalis (Iberian mole), 381 nucleotides. RefSeq lists it as uncharacterized. The transcript is spliced from 3 exons. Lineage: Eukaryota; Metazoa; Chordata; Mammalia; Eulipotyphla; Talpidae. The record is from RefSeq and is a predicted model, not a curated record.